Molecule: ribosomal RNA, 464 nt
Filed under: uncultured bacterium
Lineage: Bacteria
Description: partial 16S ribosomal RNA
Rfam family: Bacterial small subunit ribosomal RNA
Source: RNAcentral
CUACGGGUGGCUGCAGUGAGGAAUUUUGCGCAAUGGGGGAAACCCUGACGCAGCAACGCCGCGUGAGUGAAGAAGGCUUUCGGGUCGUAAAGCUCUGUCAGAUAGGAAAAAAGUUCAUAUGUAAAUAGCUUAUGAAUCUGAUGGUACUAUCAGAGGAAGCACCGGCUAACUCCGUGCCAGCAGCCGCGGUAAUACGGAGGGUGCAAGCGUUGUUCGGAAUUAGUGGGCGUAAAGGGCGUGUAGGCGGUAUGGUAAGUCAGAUGUGAAAGCCCUGGGCUUAACUCAGGAAGUGCAUUUGAUACUGCCAUCCUGGAGUAUGGGAGAGGAGAGUAGAAUUCCCAGUGUAGAGGUGAAAUUCGUAGAUAUUGGGAGGAAUACCCGUGGCGAAGGCGACUCUCUGGACCAAUACUGACGCUGAGACGCGAAAGCGUGGGGAGCAAACAGGAUUAGAUACCCUCGUAGUC